This 505-nucleotide ribosomal RNA is filed under the name uncultured bacterium. RNAcentral's name for it is "bacterial SSU rRNA". It matches the Rfam family "Bacterial small subunit ribosomal RNA", at positions 28 to 521 of the family's 1533-position model. The record is from RNAcentral.
GACGAACGCUGGCGGCGUGGAUUAGGCAUGCAAGUCGAACGGUAUCAUCCUUUCGGGGGUGAGGGGGAGAGUGGCGAACUGGUGAGUAACACGUAGGUUAUCUACCCUCAAGACGGGGACAACCCAGGGAAACUUGGGCUAAUACCGGAUGUGAGCAACUUUUAGUUGUUUGAAAGGUGGCGUAAGCUGUCGCUUGGGGAUGAGCCUGCGUCCUAUUAGUUAGUUGGUGAGGUAACGGCUCACCUAGGCAAUGAUAGGUAGGCGGCCUUAACGGGUGGUCGCCCACACUGGGAUUGAGAUACGGCCCAGACUCCUACGGGAGGCAGCAGUCGAGAAUAGUCUACAAUGGUCGGAAGACUGAUAGUGCGACGCCGCGUGAACGAUGAAUCCCUUCGGGGUGUAAAGUUCUUUUAUAUGUGAGCAGUGCUUCUUAUAUUAACAGUAUGGGGAGAGAGAUAUUAGCAUAUGAAUAAGCAACGGCUAACUCCGUGCCAGCAGCCGCGGU